GAUCAGCCCGCUCCCGGUAAAAGGGGGCGGCCCGCCAGAGGACCCCUAAACUCGGUUUUUAUAGGUAAUUUUUAGGUAAACCCAUAAAUAAAUCAAAACUUUCAACAACGGAUCUCUUGGUUCUGGCAUCU
Molecule: ribosomal RNA, 131 nt
Filed under: uncultured fungus
Lineage: Eukaryota; Fungi
Description: partial contains internal transcribed spacer 1 and 5.8S ribosomal RNA
Source: RNAcentral